RNAcentral lists this small RNA (129 nucleotides) under Marmota monax (woodchuck). Lineage: Eukaryota; Metazoa; Chordata; Mammalia; Rodentia; Sciuridae. The record is from RNAcentral.
GCCAGGUGCAGUAGUGUAUACCUGUAAUCCCAGAAGCUCAGGAGGCUGAGUUAGGAGGAUUGGGAGUUCAAAGCCAGCCAGCCUCAGCAUCAAUGAGGUGCUAAGAAAUUCAGUGAGACCCUGUCUCUA